UACGUAGGGUGCAAGCGUUAUUCGGAUUUACUGGGCGUAAAGCGUGCGCAGGCGGCUUUGCAAGUCAGAUGUGAAAUCCCCGGGCUUAACCUGGGAACUGCAUUUGUGACUGCAUGGCUGGAGUGCGGCAGAGGGGGAUGGAAUUCCGCGUGUAGCAGUGAAAUGCGUAGAUAUGCGGAGGAACACCGAUGGCGAAGGCAAUCCCCUGGGCCUGCACUGACGCUCAUGCACGAAAGCGUGGGGAGCAAACAGG
RNAcentral lists this ribosomal RNA (253 nucleotides) under uncultured bacterium. RNAcentral describes it as "partial 16S ribosomal RNA". It matches the Rfam family "Bacterial small subunit ribosomal RNA", at positions 524 to 776 of the family's 1533-position model. The record is from RNAcentral.